GAUGAACGCUGGCGGCGUGCUUAACACAUGCAAGUCGAGCGAGAAGUUUUGAAAAGAUUCUUCGGAUGAAAUUUAAAAUGGAAAGCGGCGGACGGGUGAGUAACGCGUAGGCAACCUGCCCCAUACAAAGGGAUAGCAUUUGGAAACGAAUAUUAAUACCUUAUGAAACUUAACUAGUGCAUGCUAGGUAGGUCAAAGCUUUAUCGGUAUGGGAUGGGCCUGCGUCUGAUUAGCUAGUUGGUGAGGUAACGGCUCACCAAGGCGACGAUCAGUAGCCGACCUGAGAGGGUGAACGGCCACAUUGGAACGGAGACACGGUCCAAACUCCUACGGGAGGCAGCAGUGGGGAAUAGUGCACAAUGGGGGAAACCCUGAUGCAGCAACGCCGCGUGAACGAUGAAGGCCUUUGGGUCGUAAAGUUCUGUUCUAGGUGAUGAAAACUGACAGUAACCUAGGAGAAAGCCCCGGCUAACUCCGUG
RNAcentral lists this ribosomal RNA (479 nucleotides) under uncultured bacterium. RNAcentral describes it as "partial 16S ribosomal RNA". It matches the Rfam family "Bacterial small subunit ribosomal RNA", at positions 28 to 507 of the family's 1533-position model. The record is from RNAcentral.